Molecule: ribosomal RNA, 253 nt
Filed under: uncultured bacterium
Lineage: Bacteria
Description: partial 16S ribosomal RNA
Rfam family: Bacterial small subunit ribosomal RNA
Source: RNAcentral
UACGGGGGGUGCGAGCGUUGUCCGGAAUCACUGGGCGUAAAGGGCGCGUAGGUGGUCUGAUAAGGGUGUGGUGAAAGCCCGGGGCUCAACCCCGGGUCUGCCGUGCCGACUGUCAGACUGGAGUGCUGUAGGGGCAGGCGGAAUUCCGGGUGUAGCGGCGGAAUGCGUAGAGAUCCGGAGGAAGACCGGUGGCGAAGGCGGCCUGCUGGGCAGUUACUGACACUGAGGCGCGACAGCGUGGGGAGCAAACAGG